UAAGGAAUAUUGGUCAAUGGACGCAAGUCUGAACCAGCCAUGCCGCGUGGAGGAUGAAGGUCCUCUGGAUUGUAAACUUCUUUUAUCUGGGACGAAAAAGGGUCUUUCUAGAUCAACUGACGGUACCAGAUGAAUAAGCACCGGCUAACUCCGUGCCAGCAGCCGCGGUAAUACGGAGGGUGCAAGCGUUAUCCGGAUUCACUGGGUUUAAAGGGUGCGUAGGUGGGUUGGUAAGUCAGUGGUGAAAUCCCCGAGCUUAACUUGGGAACUGCCAUUGAUACUAUCAGUCUUGAAUAUUGUGGAGGUUAGCGGAAUAUGUCAUGUAGCGGUGAAAUGCUUAGAUAUGACAUAGAACACCAAUUGCGAAGGACAGCUGGCUACGCAUAUAUUGACACUGAGGCACGAAAGCGUGGGGAUCGAAACAGGAUAGAUAACCCUGGUAGUCCACGCCCUAAACUAU
Molecule: ribosomal RNA, 460 nt
Filed under: uncultured Bacteroidota bacterium
Lineage: Bacteria; Pseudomonadati; Bacteroidota
Description: bacterial SSU rRNA
Rfam family: Bacterial small subunit ribosomal RNA
Source: RNAcentral